GAGUUUGAACCUGGCUCAGGACGAACGCUGGCGGCGUGCCUAAUACAUGCAAGUCGAGCGAGCUUGCCUAGAUGAUUUUAGUGCUUGCACUAAAUGAAACUAGAUACAAGCGAGCGGCGGACGGGUGAGUAACACGUGGGUAACCUGCCCAAGAGACUGGGAUAACACCUGGAAACAGAUGCUAAUACCGGAUAACAACACUAGACGCAUGUCUAGAGUUUGAAAGAUGGUUCUGCUAUCACUCUUGGAUGGACCUGCGGUGCAUUAGCUAGUUGGUAAGGUAACGGCUUACCAAGGCAAUGAUGCAUAGCCGAGUUGAGAGACUGAUCGGCCACAUUGGGACUGAGACACGGCCCAAACUCCUACGGGAGGCAGCAGUAGGGAAUCUUCCACAAUGGACGAAAGUCUGAUGGAGCAACGCCGCGUGAGUGAAGAAGGGUUUCGGCUCGUAAAGCUCUGUUGGCAGUGAAGAAAGAUAGAGGUAGUAACUGGCCUUUAUUUGACGGUAAUUACUUAGAAAGUCACGGCUAACUACGUGCCAGCAGCCGCGGUAAUACGUAGGUGGCAAGCGUUGUCCGGAUUUAUUGGGCGUAAAGCGAGUGCAGGCGGUUCAAUAAGUCUGAUGUGAAAGCCUUCGGCUCAACCGGAGAA
Molecule: ribosomal RNA, 651 nt
Filed under: uncultured bacterium
Lineage: Bacteria
Description: bacterial SSU rRNA
Rfam family: Bacterial small subunit ribosomal RNA
Source: RNAcentral